CCUACGGGUGGCAGCAGUGGGGAAUAUUGCACAAUGGGGGAAACCCUGAUGCAGCGACGCCGCGUGGGUGACGAAGUAUUUCGGUAUGUAAAGCCCUAUCAGCAGGGAAGAAGAUGACAGUACCUGACCAAGAAGCCCCGGCUAACUACGUGCCAGCAGCCGCGGUGAUACGUAGGGGGCAAGCGUUAUCCGGAUUUACUGGGUGUAAAGGGAGCGUAGGUGGCAUGGCAAGCCAGAAGUGAAAACCCGGGGCUUAACCCCGCGGAUUGCUUUUGGAACUGUCAGGCUGGAGUGCAGGAGGGGCAGGCGGAAUUCCUGGUGUAGCGGUGAAAUGCGUAGAUAUCAGGAGGAACACCGGUGGCGAAGGCGGCCUGCUGGACUGUAACUGACACUGAGGCUCGAAAGCGUGGGGAGCAAACAGGAUUAGAUACCCCUGUAGUC
RNAcentral lists this ribosomal RNA (441 nucleotides) under uncultured bacterium. Its description in RNAcentral is "partial 16S ribosomal RNA". It matches the Rfam family "Bacterial small subunit ribosomal RNA", at positions 338 to 795 of the family's 1533-position model. The record is from RNAcentral.